UGAAUGUAACUGUUCUGCAGGCUUUCCUAG
RNAcentral lists this non-coding RNA (30 nucleotides) under Rattus norvegicus (Norway rat). Lineage: Eukaryota; Metazoa; Chordata; Mammalia; Rodentia; Muridae. The record is from RNAcentral.